Molecule: ribosomal RNA, 261 nt
Filed under: uncultured bacterium
Lineage: Bacteria
Description: partial 16S ribosomal RNA
Rfam family: Bacterial small subunit ribosomal RNA
Source: RNAcentral
CCGCGGUAAUACGGAGGGUGCAAGCGUUAAUCGGAAUCACUGGGCGUAAAGCGCGCGUAGGCCGCUUUGUAAGUCGGACGUGAAAGCCCUCGGCUCAACCGGGGAACUGCGUUCGAUACUGCGAGGCUUGAGUCCUGGAGAGGGUGGCGGAAUUCCGGGUGUAGGAGUGAAAUCCGUAGAUAUCCGGAGGAACACCGGUGGCGAAGGCGGCCACCUGGACAGGUACUGACGCUGAGGCGCGAAAGCGUGGGGAGCAAACAG